Molecule: long non-coding RNA, 5924 nt
Filed under: Sus scrofa (pig)
Lineage: Eukaryota; Metazoa; Chordata; Mammalia; Artiodactyla; Suidae
Description: lncRNA (ENSSSCG00005017991.1)
Source: RNAcentral
AGAGGAGCUGCAAAACCAAGGGACUUGGGAGAGGGAGCAUAGCAUCCGGCAGAGUUGAAAACUGGCUGAAUCAGGUCUGUAGACAUAUUUUAUUCAGUUCCUAAAGUGUUCAAAAUAUUUUUGGAGUAGUUAGCAACAUUUAAGAGCACUGAGUGUGGCUGUACAAUGUUGUGAAUGUAUUUCAUGUCACUGAAUUGCCUACUUUUUUAAUGGCCACACCUAUGGCAGAUGGAAGUUCCUGGACCAGGGAUUAAACCCACACCUCCUGGGCCACUGCAGUUGGAUCCCUAACCCACUGCACCACAGUGGUGGUAACGAACUCAACUAGUAUCCAUGGGGGCGCAUGUUUGGUUCCUGGCCCCACUUAGUGGGUUAAGGAUCUGGCAUUGCUGCGAGCUGCGUGGUAGGUAGUGGAUGAGGUUUAGAUCUGACAUAGCUGUGGCUGUGGUGUAGGCUGGCAGUUGCAGCUCCAAUUCAAGCUCUGACCUGAGAACUUCCAUAUAGAAUUCAGAUAAAGUAAAAGUCUCUUUCAAAUCCUUAUGUCACUGUCUUCCACAGAGGUAGUAAUAACUAUUGGAUUGCUGUGUACCUUUCCAGGUAGUUUCCUAUACAUUUACAAAUACUGACAAACACAUGUAAAUAAUAGUUGCUUGCUUUGUUUGCUGUAUAUAUGUGGGAGUGUAGAAUUUCUGGGUCAUAAGGUAUAUGGAUUUUAAUUUUAAAGGAUGCUUUCAAAUAGCCCUUGGAAUGGUUACGCUAACUUAUAUUUCUUCCUUUCUCCUCUUUCCUUCCUUCCUUCUCCCUCCCUUUCUCUCUUUCUUUCUUUCUUUGGCUGCAUCCAUGGUAUAUGGAAGCUCCCAGGCUAGGGCUCAAAUUAGAGCUGCAGCUACUGGCCUACGCCACAGUCACAGCCAUGUCCCAUCUGAGCCGCAUCGGAAGCUACACUGCAGCUCAUGGUGCCGGAAUCUUAACCCACUGAGCAGGGCCAGGGAUUGAAUCUGAAUCUUCAUGGAUACUCAUUGGGUUUGUUACUGCUAAGCCACAAAGGGAACACCUAUAUUUUCUACUGGUGGUUUAUGAGAGUAACUAUUUUUUCACACCCUUGUCAACAUUCAAUUUUAGCAAAUUAUCCUUCUUCACAAUUAGAUGAGUGAACAGUUAUUUAACUUCUUUUUGCCUUGGUUUCCCCGUGUGUUGAAGUGAGCAGAUUGAGGAUUAGGUGAGCUACUAUACAUAUUUCAUUACUAUUCCUUUCGUCCUUAUUGCACUUUGGGUUUAGUGUUCUAUUACGCUGAAUUUGAAUACCUGCUUUUCAGCCUUGACCUUGGGCCAGUCAUUUAACCCUUCCCCUUCCAAGUGAUAGUUUCUACUGCUGUGAAAUGGAGUUAAUACUUCAUAGAGUUUCUGUGAGGACUCACACAGUGUGCCUAUUACAUAGUAGGUGCUUGAUACAUGUUGCGUGUUUACCUGGACUUCAAGGUUUUGUCCCUCUUCUAAGUAAGUCACAGGAAGUGAGGAUGCCUAGGCCUGGAGAGUACCAGAGUGUGCUCCUUUUGCAAAGAGCUUUGGCUGCAGGUUAUCAGGAUUUGCCAUGGAUUCCAAAACUCUCAAACUAUCUAGAAAGCUGUCUAUGCAGCAAUGCCGGGUGCCAUGCCUGAGAGAAUCAAAGAAAAUCCCAGCCUCUUAGAAAGUUUGAAGACGUCAUGCCCCUUUUCUCUACUUGGGGCUAUAUUCUCCUUCCCUGGACAGUACUGACGGGUGGGUAAAAAAAAACACAGACUUGAAGUUAGUGCUAGUUUCUCGCCCUUGCUGUGUGACCUUGGGCAAAUUUGCUUUCUCUCUCUGAGCCUGUUUCUGAGAAAUGAGAAAUAGGGUUGUUGUGAAUAUAAGCGAAAUGAUAUUUGUAGAGAACAUUAGUAAGGUGCUUGGCUCAGGGUCAGAGUUUGAGGUGAUGUGUUUGCAGACUGUCAGUGGCAAUGGAGAGAGUGAUACAAUUAGGCAUGCAUUUUUAAGCCAGGAAAGGGUCUCUUUGGGGUUUUUUAAAAUGAUUUUCAUAAAGUAAGGAGCAAAAGGAAAAGAGGUUAGCAGUCUGGGAGAGAGGCAAAUUAACCUUAGUGCCUCAUUUUCAAGACCCCUGUAUACCUAGGGUAAGGGGGUGUUCUAUUUUGCUUGUUUUAAAACUCAAAGUUUCCGUAUGUCUACACAUAUGUUCCUCAUAUCACUAUUAAAAUAUAUACUUAACACUGACUUUUUGAAAAAUAUGUGCAUAUUUAUUUAUUUACUUAUUUAUUUUGUCUUUGUUAGGGCUUUAGGGCCGCACCUGAGGCAUAUGGAGGUUCCCAGGCUAGGGAAUUGAAGCUGUAGCUGCCGGGCUGUGCCACAGCCACAGCAAUGCAGGCCAACCCCAUAUCCUCAACCCACUGAGCAAGGCCAGGGAUAGAAGCUGUGUCCUCAUGGCUACUAGUCAGAUUUUUUUCCACUGAGCCAUGACGGAACUCCUAAUACAUGCAUGUUUAAAUAAAUAUAUAGUACCAAAGGGUAUUUUGGUUUUUGAUAUUUCAUGUAUUUUUUUAUUGAAGCACAGUUGAUUUAUAAAGUAUAAAGUAUAAAAUUAUUAAAGUAGUGUUUGAUUCGGGUAUAGAGCAAAGUGAUUCAUUUUUAUGCAUAUAUAACAGGAACUCCAAUAUUUAUCUUUCUUGCUUCCUUAGUAUAAUCUCUAGGUCCAUCCAUGUUGUUGCCAAAUAGCAUUAUCUCAUUUUUCAACGACUGAGUAUUAUUCCACUGUGUGUAUUAUAUGUGUGUAUAUGUGUGUGUGGUACACAUACAUACCACAUCUUCUCUAUCCAUUCAUCUGCUGAUGGACUUUUAGGCUGCUUCCGUGUGUUGGCUAUUUUAAAUGGUGCUGCAGCCAACACUGGGGUGCACAUUUCUUUUCAAAUUAUGGUUUGGAGUUCCCAUCGUGGAGCAAUGGUUAACGAAUCCGACUAGGAACCAUGAGGAUUAGGGUUUGAUCCCUGGCCUUGCUCAGUGGGUUAAGGAUCUGGCGUUGCCAUGAGCUGUGGUAUAGGUCGCAGAUGUGGCUCAGAUCCCAAGUUGCUGUGGCUGUGGUGUAGGCCAGAAGCUACAGCUCUGAUUCCCUGGGAACCUCUAUAUACCACGAGUGCAGCCCUAAAAAGAUAAAAGAUGAAAAAAUUAAAAAAAUUUUUUUAAUUCCUCUUCUUAAGAUGUGUUAAGGACCCAACCCUGGGUCAGUGAGGAUGUGGGUUUGAUUCCUGGCCUUGCUCAGUGGAUUAAGGAUCUGGUGUUGCCAAGCUGUAGCAUAGUUCGCAGACAGGACUCAGAUCUGGCGUUGCUAUGGCUGUGGUGCAGGCUGGCAGCUGAAGCUCCAAUUCAACCCCUAGCCUGGGAACGUCCAUAUGCUGCAGGAACGGCCCUAAAAAGAACAACAACAAAAAAAGGUACAUACAGCAUGGGUACUGUUUCUGCUGCAGCAUGGGUUAAGGAUCAGGCAUUGCUGCAGCUGUGGUGUAGGUCACAGCUGUGGCUUGGAUUUGAUUCCUGGCCCAGGAACUUGCAUACACCUUGGGUGUAGCCCUAAAAAAAAAAGUACAUAAAGCACAUAUUUUUAAUCACACUUUCCUUAAUGAUUAGCUAUACUUGGGAAAUAGUGAUUCAGAUGAUAUUCUUAUGACCAUUCCUUACCUAAUAUAGCACCCUUCCACUCUCCCCAUAAAACUCUUAUUUUCUUGCCCAUGCUUCUGCUACUGCAUGCAGUUUGUGUGCCAGGCGCAGAGUGAGGCCAAAGAAACCGCAACUUGGAAUCUGUAGCAGAGAAAGGUUUAUUGCAGAGCCAAGCAAGGAGAAUGCAUGAUUCAUGCUCAAAAACCCAGAAGUCCCUGAUGGCUUUUGGGGAGCAGUUUUUAAUAGGCAGCAGGGUGUGAGACUUUCUUCUGAUUGGUUGGUGGUGAGGUAAUAGGGUGGUGCUCCAGGAAUCUUGUGCUCAGCCUGAAGUUACCAUCUUUCACCUGAUGGGGCCUUGCUUAGUUCCUGCAGAAGAACUCAAAGAUUCUGUCAUGCGUGUUCCUUGAGAGGGAACUAGGAUUCCCUCUCCAAAGCUGCACUGUGGGGUUCCUGACUGCUCCACCUUGUUUCAGCAUUCCCGCUUUUGUUUGAUUAGGAACUGUUUGAAUCUGCCCGUUGGAACCCGAGGGAGGUGAAGGAGGCUGAAACCUUUUCUCUGCAAAAUAAGAAAUUAGGGAAGGGGGACAAGACAGAAAGGAUUCAUACAAGGAAGGCCCUCACAGGGUCCUGCUCCAUUUCACUUCCACCCUGAUUCUCAGAGCUUUGGGGACAAGUGGAAGAAAGAAAAGGGUGUAGUCAUAUAUGCAGGGGCUUGCAGAAUUUGCUUAACAGUAGAAAGACCAGUGAGGAGCCUAGGGACUCUCUCUUAAAGGACUAGACCAGGGUUUUUCACCCCUGGCACUACUGACUUUUUGACCCUGUAAGUUGAUAGGUUGGGGGGGCCUCUAGAGAAAGAGCACCAGGAGUGGCUUUGUUGAUACAAAAAUCCAUUUUGGCCUAAGUCAUUUUGUGAUCUAAGCCUGGCAAGGGCAAUGCUUGUCCUUGUACAGGUCUCAGUAAUUAAUGGUCUUAAGGGAGAGAAUGCAGAAAUGAGGGAGGAGCAGUCAGGAAACAACAGUGCAGCCUUGGGGCAGGGUCCUGGUUCCUCAAGGGAUGUAUAUAUACAAUAACAUACUUCUGAGUUUUGCAGGAAGUAAGGUCCCCACCCAGAUGAAAGACUGAAUGAUGAUGUUGACUUUCCAGACUUCAAUCAACUACAGCUUGUUGACUCUGUCAGCCUUUGAGUCAAUUCUGUGCUGCAUUAUGCUCUACUCAAGCCCCCUCCUGAAUAUGCUUAAAGCUUCCCCAGUUUUGCUGUUUGCUGAGACAUUGCUUCAGGAAGGAUCCCUGGUGUUCUCCUUACUUGCUGCAAGUAAUAAAUCUUUCCUUCUGAUUUUUGGCUUGGUUCUAUCUAUUGGGUGGAGACCCGCUGAGAGGUGGAGUGGACCCAGUUUUUGGAUAACAGCCUCCUUCACCAUGGGGCCUUCUUUUGUGCGUCCCUGGCUUCCAUCCACUAGAUGCCAGUAGCUCCUCUACCUCAUUGUGAAAAGAUCUUAUGUCUCCUGGGGCCAAAAUCUCUCCCACCUUGAGAACCAGUGCUCCAGACACUUCUAUGGGGAUAGAUUACUCACUGAACAUUAACUCAGUGGAGAAAUGAUCACAGGAGGAUGCUAGCUUGCUCUCCUGUGGGAGACAGUCAUCAAGCCACCUGCAGGGUCUUGUCCACAUGCACCCAUUUUUUUUUUCUUCCCCCCUCCCAUUAUGCAACACGCACAUGAACACAGUCUCACAGGAAAACAUCCACAUAAUAUAUUCUCCUUAUAGCUUCCAACCUAAGGGAAUCCCUAAAUUUAUUUACUUUGCUUCUUAGGGGUGCACCUGCAGCAUAGGGAGGUUCUCAGGCUAGGGGUCAAAUCAGAGCUACAGCUACUGGCCUACAUUAUAGCCACAGCAACAUAGGAUCAGAGCCGCAUUUGCGACCUACACCACAGCUCACAGCAACGCCAGAUCCUUAGCCCACUGAGUGAGGCCAGGGAUCCAACCCGAAACCUCAUGGUUCCCAGUCAGAUUCGUUUCCACUGUGUCACAACAGGAACUCUGGGAAUCUCUAAAUUUUAACAUAGAAAUCAGUUUUGUUUUUUUCCUUUUUAAAUAAAUGGGAAUUCACUGUAUGUUUUGUUCAACUUGAUAUUUCUUCAGUUAACAAUCCAAUUAAAAAUGGGAGACUGGGAGUUCUUGGUAACCACCUGGCUCAGUGGUAACAAACCCGAACAGUAUCCAUGACUUGGGUUCAACCCACGGCC